This is a non-coding RNA of Carica papaya (papaya), 625 nucleotides long. The record is from RefSeq and is a predicted model, not a curated record. Lineage: Eukaryota; Viridiplantae; Streptophyta; Magnoliopsida; Brassicales; Caricaceae.
CCAAAACAAACAAACAAACAAACCCCAUCAACUACCAUUCUUCUUUCUCCUCUAUACCCUCCAGUCUUCUCCACUCCAAAUCUUCUUUUCUCCUAUUAAUAUUACUUUCAGCUCCUCCAUUUACGCGCACACUUCCUCCCCUCAAAACACCUUUUUCUUUUAAGUCUUCUUUUUCAUCAUCAGCUCCGAGUACUGAUGUCUGACUCCGAUCACUUUUCAGACGACACUUCCGUGGAUUCUAUAGAAGAUUCCAGCCACGAUUCUAAGCUUGAGUUCUCCGAGGAUGAAGAAACCCUGAUUGUCAGGAUGUAUAAUUUGGUCGGUGAGAGGUGGUCUCUGAUUGCUGGGAGAAUUCCUGGAAGAACAGCAGAGGAGAUUGAGAAUUACUGGAAUUCAAGGUAUUCAACGAGCGAAUGAAUAUCAAAAUCUUGAUAAUUUAAUUUAAUUAAGAGCUGCAAAAUUUGGGGUUUCUUUCUUUUUCUUUCGUUUGAUUGGGGGGAAAAGUUUGGCUGUAUGAGAUUUAUUACACCUGUAGUUGUUUGUUUCCUACUUUUUUUGGGUAUUAUGAUAUGAUUAUGUAAAUUGUUAUUAAUCAUUUAUUAAGUACAUGCUAAGAAGAAUCUGU